RNAcentral lists this ribosomal RNA (253 nucleotides) under uncultured bacterium. RNAcentral describes it as "partial 16S ribosomal RNA". It matches the Rfam family "Bacterial small subunit ribosomal RNA", at positions 524 to 776 of the family's 1533-position model. The record is from RNAcentral.
UACAGAGGGUGCAAGCGUUGUUCGGAAUUAUUGGGCGUAAAGAGCUCGUAGGCGGUUUGUCGCGUCUGCCGUGAAAGUCCGGGGCUCAACUCCGGAUCUGCGGUGGGUACGGGCAGACUAGAGUGAUGUAGGGGAGACUGGAAUUCCUGGUGUAGCGGUGAAAUGCGCAGAUAUCAGGAGGAACACCGAUGGCGAAGGCAGGUCUCUGGGCAUUAACUGACGCUGAGGAGCGAAAGCGUGGGGAGCGAACAGG